This 677-nucleotide ribosomal RNA is filed under the name Hirsutella strigosa. Its description in RNAcentral is "eukaryotic LSU rRNA". The stretch from base 253 to 406 matches the Rfam family "5.8S ribosomal RNA". Lineage: Eukaryota; Fungi; Ascomycota; Sordariomycetes; Hypocreales; Ophiocordycipitaceae. The record is from RNAcentral.
CUUGGUCAUUUAGAGGAAGUAAAAGUCGUAACAAGGUCUCCGUUGGUGAACCAGCGGAGGGAUCAUUAUCGAGUCCCCGACUCCCAAACCCCCGUGCGAACCGUACCCCACGCGUUGCCUCGGCGGGACCGCCCCGGCCCCCCCGCCCCCCCGGGGGCGGGACCGGAACCAGGCGCCCGCCGGAGGGCCCCCAGAACUCUCUGUCGCAGUGGCAUUUUCUCUCCGAGUCAGACACACAAGCAAAUGAAUCAAAACUUUCAACAACGGAUCUCUUGGUUCUGGCAUCGAUGAAGAACGCAGCGAAAUGCGAUAAGUAAUGUGAAUUGCAGAAUUCAGUGAACCAUCGAAUCUUUGAACGCACAUUGCGCCCGCCAGUACUCUGGCGGGCAUGCCUGUCCGAGCGUCAUUUCCACCCUCGAGCGGACCCCGCCGCGCACAUCGUGCCGGCGGGGCGAGCCCGGCGUUGGGGGACCCGGCCGAACGCGCCGCCCCCGAAAUGCAGUGGCGACCCCGCCGCGCCCUCCCCUGCGCAGUAAGAAGCCUCGCACCCCGAGGGAGACACCUCGCACCGGAGGCGCGGAGGGCGGUCACGCCGUAAAACGACACACGCAACCUAGAGUUGACCUCGGAUCAGGUAGGGAUACCCGCUGAACUUAAGCAUAUCAAUAAGCGGAGGA